Molecule: non-coding RNA, 26 nt
Filed under: Homo sapiens (human)
Lineage: Eukaryota; Metazoa; Chordata; Mammalia; Primates; Hominidae
Source: RNAcentral
UCAAAUGCCUAAUAGGACUUGCUUCC